AUGAACGCUGGCGGCGUGCCUAAUCCAUGCAAGUCGCGCGAACAGACGAGGAGCUUGCUCCUCUGACGUUAGCGGCGGACGGGUGAGUAACACGUGGAUAACCUACCUAUAAGACUGGGAUAACUUCGGGAAACCGGAGCUAAUACCGGAUAAUAUAUUGAACCGCAUGGUUCAAUAGUGAAAGACGGUUUUGCUGUCACUUAUAGAUGGAUCCGCGCCGCAUUAGCUAGUUGGUAAGGCAACGGCUUACCAAGGCGACGAUGCGUAGCCGACCUGAGAGGGUGAUCGGCCACACUGGAACUGAGACACGGUCCAGACUCCUACGGGAGGCAGCAGUAGGGAAUCUUCCGCAAUGGGCGAAAGCCUGACGGAGCAACGCCGCGUGAGUGAUGAAGGUCUUCGGAUCGUAAAACUCUGUUAUUAGGGAAGAACAAAUGUGUAAGUAACUAUGCACGUCUUGACGGUACCUAAUCAGAAAGCCACGGCUAACUACGUG
This 496-nucleotide ribosomal RNA is filed under the name uncultured bacterium. RNAcentral's name for it is "partial 16S ribosomal RNA". It matches the Rfam family "Bacterial small subunit ribosomal RNA", at positions 29 to 507 of the family's 1533-position model. The record is from RNAcentral.